GAUGAACGCUAGCGACAGGCUUAACACAUGCAAGUCGAGGGGCAGCAUAAAAGUAGCAAUACUUUGGUGGCGACCGGCGCACGGGUGAGUAACGCGUAUGCAACCUACCUAUCAGAGGGGGAUAACCCGGCGAAAGUCGGACUAAUACCGCAUAAAACAGGGGCACCGCAUGGUGAUAUUUGUUAAAAAUUUAUUGCUGAUAGAUGGGCAUGCGUUCCAUUAGGUAGUUGGAGAGGUAACGGCUCACCAAGCCCACGAUGGAUAGGGGAACUGAGAGGUUGGUCCCCCACACUGGUACUGAGACACGGACCAGACUCCUACGGGAGGCAGCAGUGAGGAAUAUUGGUCAAUGGGCGAGAGCCUGAACCAGCCAAGUCGCGUGAAGGAAGAAGGAUCUAUGGUUCGUAAACUUCUUUUGCAGGGGAAUAAAGUGCAGGACGUGUCCUGUUUUGUAUGUACCCUGAGAAUAAGGAUCGGCUAACUCCGUGCCAGCAGCCGCGGUAAAACG
This 508-nucleotide ribosomal RNA is filed under the name uncultured bacterium. RNAcentral's name for it is "bacterial SSU rRNA". It matches the Rfam family "Bacterial small subunit ribosomal RNA", at positions 28 to 527 of the family's 1533-position model. The record is from RNAcentral.